This 253-nucleotide ribosomal RNA is filed under the name uncultured bacterium. RNAcentral's name for it is "partial 16S ribosomal RNA". It matches the Rfam family "Bacterial small subunit ribosomal RNA", at positions 524 to 776 of the family's 1533-position model. The record is from RNAcentral.
UACGUAGGGUCCGAGCGUUGUCCGGAAUUAUUGGGCGUAAAGGGCUCGUAGGCGGUUCGUCACGUCGGGAGUGAAAACUCGGGGCUUAACCCCGAGCCUGCUUCCGAUACGGGCAGACUAGAGGUAGGCAGGGGAGAGCGGAACUCCUGGUGUAGCGGUGGAAUGCGCAGAUAUCAGGAAGAACACCGGUGGCGAAGGCGGCUCUCUGGGCCGAUACUGACGCUGAGGAGCGAAAGCGUGGGGAGCGAACAGG